UUGACAAGUCGUUUCUGCUGUUACGCAAAAUAUGAGUAAAAAUGCCAAGGUUGGGUAAUGAGAUUCCGUAAGAGUCAGUGCCAGCAAGAAUAAGAAAGCCCAUACUAAUCAGCAGUCGUCGUUCCUCCCAAUUAAAUUUCAACUCCUCGGAUGUGUAGGAAGGUAGUGGAUUUUCAAUCAAUAGUUUAUGCAACUUAAAGAUUAGCGUAUAAAUAUGUUCCUGAUCUUUGAACUUGCACAAAUAGUAUGUAAAUAAUUUAUCAAACUCAGGUCGCAAAAUUAAGCAAGACUCACCACAGAACUUGUCAGAUCUAUUUAGGUAAAGACGACGGAUGUCUCCUGUACGUAUAGAUUGUUCUAACUCUUCAGCAACACUGGUAUAGUUUGAUUGAAAUAAGCCUAUCAACUGUGUUUCCACAAUCAUUCGCGGACACUGUGCAACUAAAACAUUCGUUUGCUGGCGCAUUUGAAUGUCACGAAACAUUUCCUCAACUAAAACUUCUAUAGAGUUUCGUAUCGUUUUGUUUCUUAAUACAAUCAAUGGAGGAACAUUGUACGAAAUGAUGUUUAAUGGUGAUUGACCAGUACACAUAGAU
This is a non-coding RNA of Schizosaccharomyces pombe (fission yeast), 596 nucleotides long. The record is from the annotation of a GenBank genome assembly. Lineage: Eukaryota; Fungi; Ascomycota; Schizosaccharomycetes; Schizosaccharomycetales; Schizosaccharomycetaceae.